Molecule: non-coding RNA, 31 nt
Filed under: Homo sapiens (human)
Lineage: Eukaryota; Metazoa; Chordata; Mammalia; Primates; Hominidae
Source: RNAcentral
UAUUCUGGCUUUGAAGAUGCUGUAUCCCACU